AUUGAACGCUGGCGGCAGGCCUAACACAUGCAAGUCGAGCGGAUGAAGCGAGCUUGCUCCUGGAUUCAGCGGCGGACGGGUGAGUAAUGCCUAGGAAUCUGCCUGGUCGUGGGGGAUCACGUCCGGAAACGGGCGCUAAUACCGCAUACGUCCUGUGGGAGAAAGUGGGGGAUCUUCGGACCUCACGCUAUCAGAUGAGCCUAGGUCGGAUUAGCUAGUUGGUGGGGUAAAGGCUUACCAAGGCGACGAGCCGUAACUGGUCUGAGAGGAUGGUCAGUCACACUGGAACUGGGACACGGUCCAGACUCCUACGGGGGGCAGCAGUGGAGAAUAAUGGACGAUAGGCGAAGGCCUGAUCCAGCCAUGCCGCGUGUGAAGAAGGUCUUCGGAUUGUAAAGCAAUUUAAGUUGGGAGGAAGGGCAGUAAGUUAAUACCUUGCUGUUUUGACGUUACCAACAGAAGAAGCACCGGCUAACUUCGUG
RNAcentral lists this ribosomal RNA (482 nucleotides) under uncultured bacterium. RNAcentral's name for it is "partial 16S ribosomal RNA". It matches the Rfam family "Bacterial small subunit ribosomal RNA", at positions 30 to 507 of the family's 1533-position model. The record is from RNAcentral.